GGUCGGGAACUCAAAGGAGACUGCCAGUGAUAAACUGGAGGAAGGUGGGGAUGACGUCAAGUCAUCAUGGCCCUUACGAGUAGGGCUACACACGUGCUACAAUGGCAUAUACAAAGAGAAGCGACCUCGCGAGAGCAAGCGGACCUCAUAAAGUAUGUCGUAGUCCGGAUUGGAGUCUGCAACUCGACUCCAUGAAGUCGGAAUCGCUAGUAAUCGUGGAUCAGAAUGCCACGGUGAAUACGUUCCCGGGCCUUGUACACACCGCCCGUCACACCAUGGGAGUGGGUUGCAAAAGAAGUAGGUAGCUUAACCUUCGGGAGGGCGCUUACCACUUUGUGAUUCAUGACUGGGGUGAAGUCGUAACAAGGUAACCGUAGGGGAACCUGCGGUUGGAUCACCUCCUUACCUGAAAGAA
Molecule: ribosomal RNA, 415 nt
Filed under: Klebsiella oxytoca
Lineage: Bacteria; Pseudomonadati; Pseudomonadota; Gammaproteobacteria; Enterobacterales; Enterobacteriaceae
Description: bacterial SSU rRNA
Rfam family: Bacterial small subunit ribosomal RNA
Source: RNAcentral